CUGUGAACGCAUCCCACGCAAGACACCGGAGAUUAUAUACAGCGAUGACAUCCCGCUCCCCCAGUCAGAAGAUGUCAGAAGAACAUCCGGCCUACAGCACAUGCACUUCUCAACGCGUAUGGAUGUACCUAUACUAUAGUCGCUCCGUUCAGUAUAGCAUUGGUUCUUUGUUCUCCGUGGGGAUUCCUGGUUGGAACUCAUGCAGCGACCUAUGCUGGAAGUAACUUCAAGGGAGACUGCUGUACUGUCACCCCCCUCCCUGUCUGGAUGCUGCAUACUCCCAAGCCAUACCCACCCCGGAGGAAGGCGGAAUCACCCACCCUGGGCGGCAGGGGAGUGAGGGGGAUCUCAUGCUGAAGGUCAAAAUGUCUGCCCACACAUGGAGUGUCCAAGUACGUCUGCACGGAGGGGCCCCAGUAGGUGUCUGCGGAGUCGUCACUAAACUCCACACCUCACCGCAGCCAGACAUCAAUCAAUACCGAACCAUGGACACGACACAAUAACGAAGUGGUUUUAAACAAAUAUUUAGCAGGGCAUGAAGGUUCUGUUGAUCUGAACAGUACGAUUUCUCUAAGGAGCAAAGGUGGCCCUCGUUUCCAGCUUCCAGAACAUCUGCCAGGGUCCACUGAUCUCAGGGACCUGGUCUGGAUCUGUGUUCAUGCUGACACCUCUUGAUAUAACCGACAUACUGUUUAAAGCAGCUUAAACCAAACUCACUCAUUGUGUUGAUGGGUUUCAUUAUAGUGGCAAACAUCUGACGGGCAUCUUUUGUCCUUACAGACGGUAGAGUUGCCCCCAGGCCUACCAGAAACCUUGGAAAGGCCUGGAAAGUUCUGUCAAGACCACUGAUCACUGGUUUGCCUGUUACGGAUUUGACAAUGUUUACUGCACUGUGUUAUAGCUGGAAUAUUGCCGACUUUUGCAUUAAACAUUCACUCAAUCACUGUUAAACUUACUCAUAUGUAAGCUGGCAGUGAAGAUCCGGGGUAGAAUAGGUCUUCAGCCAACCCAUGCUUGCCGUUAAAGACGACUU
Long non-coding RNA from Haliotis rufescens (red abalone), 1033 nucleotides. RefSeq lists it as uncharacterized. The record is from RefSeq and is a predicted model, not a curated record. Lineage: Eukaryota; Metazoa; Mollusca; Gastropoda; Lepetellida; Haliotidae. The transcript has 3 exons.